AACACAGUGCUCUGCCACUGGA
RNAcentral lists this microRNA (22 nucleotides) under Gallus gallus (chicken). Its description in RNAcentral is "gga-miR-12208-3p". Lineage: Eukaryota; Metazoa; Chordata; Aves; Galliformes; Phasianidae. The record is from miRBase by way of RNAcentral.